CUACCAAAGCCGUGGCGCAUCUCGGAAGUCCCUCCUGUCUUCAGGCCAAUCCGAUUUGGGAAAAGCAGAUGGGGCUGUAGAGGCCGGGUGCCUCCAUGCUGCUCUUCCGGACUUCUGUCACUGCAGAUUCAUCCCACUCCCCCACUGUACUCCAGUGCUCUCCCUUCGACACUCCAGUCAAAGUGAGCUGUUUAUUCAUUGCCUUGGGCCUUUCUUGUUGGGCGGGACAAGCAGCAGGUGUCUCUAGUCAGCCAUCUUGCUGACAUUACUCCUGGCUCCAAUUCUUUUUUUUUUUUUUUUUUUUUGAGACGGAGUCUCGCCUUGUUGCCCAGGCUGGAGUGCAGUGGCGCAAUCUCAGCUCACUGCAACUUCUGCCUCCCGGGUUCAAGUGAUUCUCCUACCUCAGCCUCCCGAGUAGCUGGGAUUACAGGUGUCUGCCACCAUGCUCGGCUAAUUUUUUGUAUUUUUUUAGUAGAGAUGGGGUUUCACCAUGUUGGCCAGGCUGGUC
This 508-nucleotide long non-coding RNA is filed under the name Homo sapiens (human). Its description in RNAcentral is "HSALNT0213731". Lineage: Eukaryota; Metazoa; Chordata; Mammalia; Primates; Hominidae. The record is from RNAcentral.